ACUGCUGAGCCAUCUCUCCAGCCCCUUUAUUUACUUUUUAGAUUUAUGUUUAAGGACUGGGGAGAUGGCUCAGUAAU
This 77-nucleotide microRNA precursor is filed under the name Neotoma lepida (desert woodrat). RNAcentral describes it as "mir-3473 microRNA precursor family". It matches the Rfam family "mir-3473 microRNA precursor family". The record is from Rfam by way of RNAcentral. Lineage: Eukaryota; Metazoa; Chordata; Mammalia; Rodentia; Cricetidae.